Ceratotherium simum simum (southern white rhinoceros) is the source of this 119-nucleotide non-coding RNA. NCBI's taxonomy places the organism in Eukaryota, Metazoa, Chordata, Mammalia, Perissodactyla, Rhinocerotidae. The record is from RefSeq and is a predicted model, not a curated record.
CAGACCUGCCAUCCUGCUGUGUUCUCUCGAGACAACAGACCUGCUACCUGCUGUUUCCAUCAAUCGCUGUGCUCACAGAACAAUCUCGUGACUAUUGUAAAAGGGGCAUUGCAAUCAUG